This 482-nucleotide ribosomal RNA is filed under the name uncultured bacterium. Its description in RNAcentral is "partial 16S ribosomal RNA". It matches the Rfam family "Bacterial small subunit ribosomal RNA", at positions 30 to 507 of the family's 1533-position model. The record is from RNAcentral.
AUUGAACGCUGGCGGCAUGCUUUACACAUGCAAGUCGAACGGUAACAGGCCGCAAGGUGCUGACGAGUGGCGAACGGGUGAGUAAUGCAUCGGAACGUGCCCAGUCGUGGGGGAUAACUACUCGAAAGAGUAGCUAAUACCGCAUACGAUCUAUGGAUGAAAGCGGGGGACCGUAAGGCCUCGCGCGAUUGGAGCGGCCGAUGUCAGAUUAGGUAGUUGGUGGGGUAAAGGCUUACCAAGCCAACGAUCUGUAGCUGGUCUGAGAGGACGACCAGCCACACUGGGACUGAGACACGGCCCAGACUCCUACGGGAGGCAGCAGUGGGGAAUUUUGGACAAUGGGCGCAAGCCUGAUCCAGCAAUGCCGCGUGCAGGAAGAAGGCCUUCGGGUUGUAAACUGCUUUUGUACGGAACGAAACGGCUCUGGUUAAUACCCGGGGCUAAUGACGGUACCGUAAGAAUAAGCACCGGCUAACUACGUG